ACACAUCAUCGUCUACACCCUUCUUUCUUUCUUUUACCCCUCAUAUUUUAGGUGUUUUUUCAGGCAAGCAGAGCUCUCUCUCUCUCUCUCUCUCUCUCUCUCUCUCUCUCUCUCUCAACACUCAUUGAACCACCUCCUCCUCCUCCCCCCCUCCUCUCUCAACCUCUCUAUCUGACUCAGAUCCUACUCAGAUCCUCCGUUCUCUCGGAUCGUUUGUCGUGGCUUCACAGGUUUCAAUUUUUUCGAUAACCUUUAUGACGAUGUCCGUUGGUCUUCGGCAAUUGACACGUCGCUUCUCCAUCUUAUUCUCACAUUGCAGUCUUCCCUCAGCCUCACUCUCACCCUCUCAAUCCCGUUAAUUGCCUCUUGCACCAUCGAAUGACCCCCCCGAAACCCAGACGAAAAACCCCCAAAUUUUACCCAUAAACCAAACUCAGACCGCUGCCUCCUUCGCUCAAAGGCGAAAGAUUAAUUAAUUAGUUAACACAUUCAUUCAAAUGAAGGAAUGAGGCAGUUUUUGCAACAAAUAAUCUGGUACGAAGAUGCUUCUUUGAGCCUGAGAAUGCAACUAUGUUGGCCAAAACCAAUGAAUAGGAGGGAUUCGCAUAUUAGGCAGGAGUAAGGGUAGCAACACAGUAGUCAUUUACUGUUUAAGCUAAUUUUGAGUUAUUCCCUACUCUUUUACCCAUUUAUCUCUAUGGUAGGUAUUAACUGCAGCAUUAUGAUUAAGUGUCAUCUUCUGCUUUCCUCGAAUUUACUAAUUCAUGACUCUUAUAGAUUCUCCUCAUUUUUGGUACUUCCUUGAGCUUGUGGAUGAAUCUUUCAAAAAUAUCCAUUGCAAUUGUGGUACACAUGGAUGAGGUAAUUCACAAAUUUCAUAUAACAGGGGCACAAGUGCUCUACAUGUCAAUCUUUUGCGAUAUUCCAAAAUGCCUAAACUUUACAAACUACAGCUACAAGCCAUGUGUUUUAAUCCUUCACUGCCAAUCGUUGGUAACAAUAGUUGUUUUGUCAGGUGGGAAGAAUACGUUUUGGGUGAUGUACAUAUGUAUUUUCAUAUAAGAAUGCGACAUAACAUCCUUCUUUAAAUUUAGUUUUGUUUAGAAAACUGUAAAAUUAUAAACUCGAAUUCUGUUGGUACCAUUAGUUUUUACUACAAUUGACAUUAGGUACAAUUUGUCUUACUAUCUUGGAAAAUUUUGGUGUAGAGGAAUGGAAAAGGGCUUGAAGAUGAGCUGCCCCUUGAAGCAAAUGGAGACUACACCAAGUCAAGGAGGAGGAGCUUAAUUAAUGGUAUUUUUCUCUAAAAACAAAUGACUUGGAGAGAUAGUCUAGAGUCCUGAAUCUUUGCAUCAUGAGGAGGAUAUGGUUCAGUGGACAGAAAGUUUUAUAGGCUGAAGCUUUAUAGGCUGUUCUGUUUGAAAACCGCAGCUAGGAAGACGACCGCAUAAUCAAGCAAGUUGGGAGACCUGGUGCUAAAAGAUUGUUUGUUCUUGCAAAGUUCUUACCAGGGUGAGUUAUACCGUGAAAACUCACUUCCAGAUCUUGAGAGAACCACUCAAAUGCAUGAUAAUAUGCAAAGUACUUUGGUUUCCAAUUUAUAAGCAUGCUGUUUGUAUUUCAUUUGUAUUGAUAUAUACCUUAGCAUAUUGACCACUUGCAAUACUUGGUCUAUUUUCAGUAUGAAAAUAUCCUGAGGAUAGGUCCAGCACUUGCAACACUUUCUGUGUUUUCAUUAUGAAAAGAUUAAUGGAAUUAUUGUGUAUGGUGUUUUCUCAUUAAUUUCGGAAGUGUUGAAUAUAAGUAUUUCCAUUAGGAAUGUAAUUCAUUUAUUUGUAAAACAACGAAUAUUUGAAAACGAAAAAAAAAAAAAAAAA
Molecule: long non-coding RNA, 1877 nt
Organism: Prunus persica (peach)
Lineage: Eukaryota; Viridiplantae; Streptophyta; Magnoliopsida; Rosales; Rosaceae
Exons: 4
Source: RefSeq, a predicted model, not a curated record